GUGUUUGAGAUCUUGUAUCUAUACAGAUCUUCAUCUUCGAUAACCGGUGGCAUGCUCCAUUUCCCGAGACGAGAAGCAAGUUCCUUCCCACCUGAAAUAUAUGCAAAUUCAAAAUAUGUUUGGCUAAAUAUAAAUCAAAUACUAAUCCAGUUCUUACUUUGUUUGGCGGCCUCUUCACGCCCUUUUUGAUAUUUGAGAGCAAGCUGAGGAUCCAAAAUGCUUAGCAAGUGCUUGUACUUCUCCUGCGCCUCUGUAAUUAAUCUUGCCUAGUCAUAUGAAGAGUUGCUUAAGGCAGGCGCGUUGGUUUUGCCACAAAGAUUACCCGUGAAGAAUUGUUGUUGAUGGAUGCACAUGUUGACCAAGCAACGGUCACAUGACCGUUUGGAAUUAAUAAAAUAAAAUAAAUUAUUUGAUUAUUUACCUUAUAAAUAACCACCCCAUUUUAUAUUUCGCUCAAAUCUUAAACCAUUUUCAUUUAAAUCUUAUACCACACUCAAAUCAAUCUCAUUUCUCAAUGACUAAUUCUCCUCGAUAACUUGGGUAUUUUUUUUACCACCCGAUGAUUUUGAAAACGCUUUUUUGUCAACCGAUAGUAGCUUAGUUUUUUUCAAAGAGAUACUUGAGGAAGCCAAAGCGGAAGACACCACAACAUCGUCAGGCAUUCCAAGAAAAAAUCGUCAAGCGUGAUCGCGUACACGGUAACGACAAUCUUAUGAAUGAUUAUUUUGUUGAUGAACUAAAGUAUGAUCAUGAAACAUUCUGCUACCGGUUUCGUAUGUCAAAACAAUUGUUCUUAAAAAUUGUUGGUGAUGUAGAAGCACAAUAUCCUUUGUUUCAAGAGGGAUAUGACGGGCGGAUGAAAAAGUGUUUUAUGGCAAUACAAAAAGUUACAUCCGCCAUUAAAUAACUCGCGAGCGGUAAUAGUCCCGACCAGAACAACGAGUACUUACAAAUGUCCGAAAGGACUUCGCCAGAAUGCCUACAAUUGUUUUUUUGUAACGUCGUGAAUCAAUUGUAUGGUCAUGAGUUCUUGCAUAGGCCGACAAGAAACGACAUAGCGAAUUUGUUCAAAUUCCAUGAAGAAAAACACCACAAUCCAGGGGUAUUAGGUAGCAUUGAUUGUAUGCAUCUUGUUUCGAGGAUGUGUCCCACUGAGUUACGAGGCUAAUAUAUGAGAGGUGAUCACAAAUACCCAACGGUCAUGGUCGAAGCGGUCGCGUCAGAAGAUUUAUGGUUUUGACAUGCGUAUUAUGGUCUGCCCUGUUCACUAACAAUAUCAAUGUGCUCCAAAAAUCUCCAAAAUAUCUCGUUGAACGCACCUAAGUGUCUAUUUCAAGUGAAGGGACAUACAUACAAACCUGGAUACUAUUUAACCGACGAGAUCUACCCUACUUGGUUAACGCUUGUGAAAACAUUUCCAUAUCUUGCCGAUCUGAAUGAAAAGAAAUUCGAAAUUGCGAGAAGGAGCAAGAAAAGAUGUGGAGCAUGCUUUUAGUGUGCUAAAAGGAAGAUGAGACAUACUUAGGAGACCCAUGCAUGCUAUGACUAUGGACAAGAUUAUUAGUGUGACGUAUGCGUGUAUCAUACUACACAAUAUGAUCUUAAAGGACGACGAACAUGUCUUCUCAGCGGUCCACAUCCAGGAUGGUUGUCGAACAUGUUUUUGACGAUACUGUUCUUCGGGAGUUGAUGGACCGAGAUACGCAUUUGCGGCUUAAAAAUGAUCUAUGGUCCAUCUUACAGCUCAAGAUCUACAGUGCCUUAAGCAAGAAAACGAGAAGUAGUUUGUUUUAUAUUUUUUAUUGUUUUUCUAGUUAUGUUUUUUUGUUAAUUUAAUUUAAUUUGUUUGCUUAAUUUAAAUUGUUAUUUAAUGAAAUUUCAAUU
This 1884-nucleotide long non-coding RNA is filed under the name Helianthus annuus (common sunflower). RNAcentral's name for it is "hypothetical non coding rna". Lineage: Eukaryota; Viridiplantae; Streptophyta; Magnoliopsida; Asterales; Asteraceae. The record is from RNAcentral.